Oncorhynchus nerka (sockeye salmon) is the source of this 1169-nucleotide long non-coding RNA. RefSeq lists it as uncharacterized. The record is from RefSeq and is a predicted model, not a curated record. NCBI's taxonomy places the organism in Eukaryota, Metazoa, Chordata, Actinopteri, Salmoniformes, Salmonidae. The transcript has 3 exons.
UAACUACCCUCAGUACAUUCCAAGCUUAAUUGCCCCCACCAUAUACUUUCCUCCUUCAGUUGGCCAAGGGGCUAUUAACACCAGAGGUUAAUGGUUAUGGCACCACUCACUCUAUUACAACUAAUGAUUCAUACGAAUUUAAAGUUCAUAAUUCCAAACCUAUCAAAAGGAACAUGAAAGUAAAAUGUCAGAGUCAGCAAAGUAGGUUCUGGUUGGCCCAAUAGUGUGAAAAGGAUACAAGUGAGCUUCAGUCUUUUAUACAGAACCUAACCUUCCUUCUUCACAGUACACUAUAUAAUAUGUGUAUUGCACUGCUCUUUGUAUGUGAGUUCAUUCCAGGUGACACAGUGAUCCAGAAUGCAGCCAACAGAUGUGUGGAUCAGGCUGUCAUAUGAGAUUGCUGCUGCAAGGAGAUCCAAACCAUCAACGUGGUCAGAGACAGGCCAGACCUCACACAGCUUACUGACAGGCUGAAGGCCAUGGGCGCCAGUCACGUGAUCAAAGAGGAGACCCUGAGGCGGAAUUGAUAUCUUUUUCAGAGUUGGAGGGUCGGUGGUGACGUAUGGAGGGAUGGCCAAGCAGCCAAUCACUGUUCCUGUGAGCGCCCUGAUCUUCAAAAAUGUGCAAGGGUUCUGGGUCACCCAGUGGAAGAUAACCCACUCUCGGGGUGAGCCAGGAGUAUUUAGAUACAAUACACACACACACAAAAUAUGUAGGAGUCUGGAGAGACAGGUCUUUGCUCUGCAUUCUUCACAUUCCAUUAUGGUGGGUCCAAGCUAUGAGUGAGACACAAAAUACUUUUAAUUUUGUCCCUCUGAAUGUCCAGUAUCAAACAUUACUUUCAAUAGCCUGCCGGUAUGAUGCUUUAUAACCUGUUAUAUGGAUGAGUUUCUAUAAUGUCUUUUAUAAUAUGUCUUUUAAUAAACUUAGCAAAAAAGAAACGCCCCAUUUUCAGGACCCUGUCUUUCAAAGACAAUUCCUACAAAUCCAAAUUUCACAGAUCUUCAUUGUAAAGGGUUUAAACACUGUUUACCAUGUUUGUUUAAUGAACAAAAAACAAUCAAUUAACAUGCACCUGUGGAACGGUCGUUAAGACACCAACAAUUUACAGACGGUAGGCAAUUAAGGUCACAGUUAUGAAAACUUAGGACACUGAAGAGGCCUUUCUA